GACCUUGUUGCGCAAUGGUAGCACAUCUGACUCCAGAUCAGAAGGUUGCGUGUUAAAAUCACGUCGGGGUCA
RNAcentral lists this transfer RNA (72 nucleotides) under Pelobates cultripes (western spadefoot toad). Its description in RNAcentral is "tRNA.Trp". It matches the Rfam family "tRNA". Rfam says of the family: Transfer RNA (tRNA) molecules are approximately 80 nucleotides in length. Their secondary structure includes four short double-helical elements and three loops (D, anti-codon, and T loops). Further hydrogen bonds mediate the characteristic L-shaped molecular structure. tRNAs have two regions of fundamental functional importance: the anti-codon, which is responsible for specific mRNA codon recognition, and the 3' end, to which the tRNAs corresponding amino acid is attached (by aminoacyl-tRNA synthetases). tRNAs cope with the degeneracy of the genetic code in two manners: having more than one tRNA (with a specific anti-codon) for a particular amino acid; and 'wobble' base-pairing, i.e. permitting non-standard base-pairing at the 3rd anti-codon position. The record is from RNAcentral. Lineage: Eukaryota; Metazoa; Chordata; Amphibia; Anura; Pelobatidae.